UCGGGAAUUUUGGGCAAUGGGCGAAAGCCUGACCCAGUAACGCCGCGUGAAGGAUGAGGUAUUUCGGUAUGUAAACUUCGAAAGAAUAGGAAGAAUAAAUGACGGUACUAUUUAUAAGGUCCGGCUAACUACGUGCCAGCAGCCGCGGUAAUACGUAGGGACCAAGCGUUGUUCGGAUUUACUGGGCGUAAAGGGCGCGUAGGCGGCAAUUCAAGUCAUCUGUGAAAUCUCCGGGCUUAACUCGGAACGGUCAGAUGAUACUGCUUUGCUAGAGUGCAGAAGGGGCAAUCGGAAUUCUUGGUGUAGCGGUGAAAUGCGUAGAUAUCAAGAGGAACACCUGAGGUGAAGACGGGUUGCUGGGCUGACACUGACGCUGAGGCGCGAAAGCCAGGGGAGCAAACGGGAUUAGAUACCCAAGUAGUCCCUGAGCGGGCUGGCAAGGCGCAU
RNAcentral lists this ribosomal RNA (447 nucleotides) under uncultured bacterium. Its description in RNAcentral is "bacterial SSU rRNA". It matches the Rfam family "Bacterial small subunit ribosomal RNA", at positions 355 to 825 of the family's 1533-position model. The record is from RNAcentral.